Molecule: long non-coding RNA, 10891 nt
Filed under: Cricetulus griseus (Chinese hamster)
Lineage: Eukaryota; Metazoa; Chordata; Mammalia; Rodentia; Cricetidae
Description: lncRNA (ENSCGRG00015034257.1)
Source: RNAcentral
CCUUUUUGCUGCUGAUUUCCUGGGACUUCCCAUAUCUGCUUUGGCCUGUUUUGAUUUCUUUAGGCAUCUCUGUAUGCAUUCAUGCAAAUUACACAGAAAGCCUAAGGGUUUUAUUAAUCAGGGGCAGCUGACUCUGUAAUAAACAAGCCCAAAUUGAAAUGGCUUAACAGAAAUGAGCAAUUCAAAUGCCUGCUUUGCCGGUUGGUGACUCUUCCGAGCAUCUCUGUAGGUCACAGAGUUCCCAGCUUGCUCUUCCAUCCAGUUAGGGGAGGUUCUCAGGCACAAGCCCUAGGUCAUGUACUCUUGCCCAUUUCCCUGGCCUGGAACUUAGUCACCCAGUCCCAUAUCCCUCCAAGAGAAGCUGGAGAUGCCUGGCCCAGGAGUCAGAGGAAGUGAGGUUUGGAGGCAGGCCUCCACAUCCCUGCAUUAGAUGGCUGUUAACACUUGUUUUGCUGCCAGUGGUGAUGGAAAGGUCUGCCUGUGUUUCCUCCCCUGAUGUCACUUCAGUAAAGAGCCAGAGUGCUGCACAGAGGUCACAGGGCACUGACCCACCCACUGCAAGCUCAGUCAGCUCUGAGACCCUGCCACUCUCAUCAAGGCAAAGUGACCCACUCUCCCGGUUUCCAGUUCACCGACUUUGAAUUCGUCAACAGGACCCGUCCCACCACACACCCUCCUUGGUCAUCCGUGUUGCUCCAGCUGUUCCACUGGGAUCCACAGGGAAGGCCAGCCCUCACUGCUGGGAACUACCCCCACCCCCCACUUGCUGGCUCCCGAAAUCCCUUCCUUUCUCCUGUGGCCUGUGGUCAGUGCUACUACAGCUUCUCUGCCUUUGCUAUUGGUAGUGUUAGAGAAGCUUAACAAGGCUUCUCUGACUUGCCACCCUGAAUCUGAAUAUACUGGAAGUGCAUAGGAAAACCCUGGAAGGACAUGAAAGGGAGCUAGGGAGGGAACAGGCCACUGGAAGAGUAAGAUGAAGUGAAAGAGGUAUGACUCUAUGUGGCCUGCAGGUGGUGACACCAUAGGUAUCACCUGCCCGGAGAAGAGGGUGUGUCCUGGGCCAGGGGCUGGAGGCAGGCAGGGCCUAGUCUUCAAAACCCAAAACGCCAGAGUAUGACUUUGUUCUGGGAGUCAUAGAAAUGAGAAGGAAAUCGGGUUUGUAUUUUAGAAACUACUGCAGAGAUGAGGUGGAGGAAGGCUGGGACCAGACAUGGAAAAGAAAAGACCAUUGCAUCACAGAAAGCAGGAGAUGCUGAACCCCUGAACUCGGGCAGUGGCCAGAAGGCUGAGAGAAGGAGAUGGAUCACCAAGAUAAUAGAAAUAAUGUUCACUUGAACCUGGAGACCUACUGGAUACAGGGAAGAGCCAGGAAUGACUCAGAGAGUUCUGGUUCAGGCAACUCAGAGGAUUAUGUUGCUAUUCAUCAGGAAGAGACUGCAGGGAGGAGAAGCAGGUUUGGAGGGAGAAUAUGAGCUUCGGCUUGAACUUACUGCUUCUGACUUGCAAAAAUGAUAAAGGGCUGACUAAGGUUAAUAGUUUGAUCCAACAUGUGGGUCUAGGGCUCAAAAAACACAAUACAUGGGCGGGGGUUAGCCACAUGUGUGGUUGUGACUGCAAGCAUGGGUGAGAUUGUUCUGGGAGCACACAGAGAAACUAGGGCUGGAUUCAUGGGCCCCAUGCUAUUUGCAUAGCGAUGUAGCCAUCUGUCAUCCCUUAAUAACUGUGUGUGUGUGUGUGUGUGUGUGUGUGUGUGUGUGUGUGUGUAUGUAUGCAUGUGCGUGCACGUGUAUGUGCACUCUCCAGACGUCAGGGUUGGGUGUCUUCCACAAUCACUUCUUCACAUUAUUUUUGGUACAGGGUCUGUCACUGACCCUGGAGCUCACAAUUUCUGCUACCCUCACUAGCCAGAAAGCCCCUGGGAUCCUCUUUCACUGGCCUUAGAGCUAGGGUUACAAGCAUGUGCCACCACACGUUGUUUUUCUAUGGGUUCUGAGGAUCUGGAGUUGGGUCCCCAUGCUUGUGUGGCAAGUACUUGAUCCACCGAGCCAUCUCCCCAGCCAAAUUCUUUAGUAACAUUUGAGGUAGGACCCCACAAUUUCUCUGUGGCUGGGUCCUGAAAAUGAUGCAGUCAUUUCUAAGAUGAUAGGGACAAAACCAGUCCUGAAACUAUGCUAGGAAAGAUUCACCACACAGAGAAGUCCAGAGGCUGUUACAGAACCCUGUGCCAAGUGGGAGGGGAUGUUGGUGAUCAGGGGACAAAAAUGAGAGAGAGAAGGGCCCUGUGGGCAUCAUGACAUGAAGAAGGGUCAGUGACCUAGGAGGAGAUCUGGGCAUCUUCUCCACAACACUAUUUUAGGUAGAAAAGUAAUAAACAGCAUGCAAUAUGAGUGUGUAAAACCAACUGCAAAACUGAACUCUGGGGCUGAGAUGGCUCCAUGAGUAAAGAGUUUUCAAUGCAAACAUGAGACCUGAGUUCGAUCACAGAAUAAGUCACAUCAGUCACAGAAUAAGGCCAGUAUUGUAAUCCCAGCAUGGGGAAGAAAGAGACAGAGGAUCCCUGAGCCAUACUGGACAGCCAGACUCACUUAGUUGUUGAGCUGCAGGUCCCUGAGAGACCCUGUCUUAAAAAACAAGAUGAACAGCACCUGAGGGAUGGAUGGCACAUGAGAUUGACUUCUGGCCUCCACACACGCAUGUACACCUGUGCACAUACAGCCCCUCACACAUAAGUGCAUCCCAAACACAAACAUAGACACACAGACACACAGACACACAGACACACAGACAGACAGACAGACAGACAGACAGACAGACACACACACACACACACACACACACACACACACACACACACACACCUGACUUCUAGAGGAGUCAUAGAGUGUGGAGAAUCCCCGAUUCUUACCACUGUUGUUGUUUGGACCUCAUCAACUGCUGUCUGGAUUCUGCAGCUCCCCCACUUUGUCCUUGUGCCCUAUGGGUCACAGGGAUUGUGCUAGCAAUUAAGUCUGAUCAUGUCAGGCCUCUGCCCAAACCCAUAGGUAGUUUGUCGUGUCAGAGCACAGGUCUUUACUGCCUGAGAGGACCAGUCAUCAGACUCCCCUUUGCUCACUCUGCUUGAGUGCACGGCCUUCAUACUGGCACCAUGCCCAGUUCUCCCCCUGCCUGCAUACUCUUUUGUUAUAGAUGUCCCCCCCUCUGACUCUGCUCAGAUGUUCCCUCUCAGUGUGUCCACCCACUGGGCAAACCAUCUAUGCCACUCUGCUUGCUUUUCCUUGCAGCCCAGUCACCACCUGACUUCCGGUGUUAUGAUUUGCUUUUUGCCUUUCUACUCCUAGGAGAGGAGACACUUGACUUUGUUUAUCUGCUUGGCUAGUCCUGUUGGAGAACAACAGCCUUGGGGGACAUUAGGAGCUAUUGGGGAUCCUGUCUCCCAAGCCAAAAAUUAUGAUAUGCUGUCUCGUAGAGAGAAAGGGUAUUCCCUUGUUUGUUUGUCUGUCUGUUUGGGAAGGCAUCCCUUUGUUUCACAGAAGGAUUUAAGACAGCUUACAAAGCGCUCAGCAAGAUGACAUAAAUUAGAAGCAGGUGGGAGGGGGGUGUCCUUGCAGGCUAACGCUAUAAAGUGGAGCCAAGGAUGGGACUAAUACAAAAUAAACAUCCCAUAAACUUUGAUCCAUUCAUGAGGGGUGGGCCACAAAUUUGGCUCUAAUAUUUCUUACUGCCAGUGCCAGGAUGUAACAUGAUCCUCCCCGUGACUCCCAGGAUCCUCAAGAUUAAAGCAGACCACCAGCUCAGGACAGACAGCCACAUUCCUGACGCCUGGAAAACGGAGCAGCAUCUCCCUGAUCCCACCCAGAGGGGACAGGGGAACUAUGGGGAGGGCUCACAGACAUCUCUGAGCUUGGCUUCUUAUGUUUCCCAGCCAAGCAUAGGGGAGUCCAUUGUCUGGGGGACCAAUGACAGGGUUUCAGUCCAGCCACACACAUGUUUUAGCAGGUGGUGGACAGUGUGGUCUAAAGAACCCUGGAGCUAUGCUUCUGGAAUGUCCUAGACCAAGCUUUGGGGGGUAGCAGGGGACCAAAGGGUCUCAUGAUCAAAACUUCAACUGAAGCUAUUCUAGGUGAUCCCAAGAACCCACAGACAUUGGGCUGAGGAAAGGUGGCCCUAGAAAGUUAUGUUUUCUAUCUGAGAAUGAACAGAUAUCUUCCUGGAAAUGAACAACUAGUGAAAUAAAACAUGGGUAGAUGUGUGUGUGUGCACAUUUGUGUGCACACAUGUAGACGCCAGAGGUCAAUGUCAGCCAUCUUCCUUGAUUGAUCCCUGUCUUAUUUUUAGUGUUUUGCUAUGUUCAUUUGAGACAGAGUCUCACUAUGUAGCCUUGGCAGGCCUGAAGCUUGUGUAGACCAGGUUGGUCUCAGACUCACAGAGACCCACCUUCCUUUGCCUCCCAAGAACUGAGAUUAGAGGUGUGUGCCACCACAUCUAACUUCCAUUUAAUUUUUGAGACACUGAACCUGGAGUUUACCAGUUGAUGGCUAGCCAGGAACUCCAGAGACCUUCCUGCCUUCACUUUUCCAGGACUGGGACUAAGACAAUUACCACCAAACCCAGGUUGUUUUGUUUUGUUUUGUUAGUGCUGGGGAUCCACACGACAGUCCUCAUAUUUGCUUACUAGGUGCUUUACUGACUGUACCCUCUUCCCGGGCUCAGCACAAUUGUUGCCUGGGAACAUUUUAGAGCAAACCCAGCCUAAAACCUAUCGUGUGUGUGUGUGUGUGUGUGUGUGUGUGUGUGUGUGUGUGUGUGUGUGUGUGUGUAAAGUCAUCUUCCUGUUCUUCCUUACAAGAUAAACCAUUUGUGAAACACACACCAAGUUAGCAAUGAGGAGGUCUGCAUGGAAUGAAGGACUGUCUAAGAGCUGAGUGACAGCUACCAACAAUGACAGCUAGCUGAGCGCCUGUUUGCUCUGAAGUCUCCUUUCUGGCAGUAAGUGAACAGUGAGAUCAGCUGUAUCCAGAGGUUCUGUACUGAAGCUGAAUUUCCCCAGAAAAUUCAGAUCGCAUGGCUGGAGCAGAGCUGGUUCCCAUCCCCACCCCUGAUAGGGAUCCCAGCUGUCUGCAUGUUUUCCUGGGUUGCUGAAAGUCUGGAGAUAAUGAAGUGCCCCUCCUCUGAGGUCCUGGCAAGGAAGGCAAAGCUUCUCUUCUUUCUCCUCCUUCUUAGCAGUUUGAGACUUUGUUUUACUUUAUAACCUAAGCUGUCCUAACGGCGGUCCUCCAUUCUACGUCAACACUCCCCCGCCCCCGUGUGUAACAUAUGUGCACAUGUGUGUGCAGGUGUCCAUGUCUGUGCAUAUGUGUAGAUGCCAUAGGAGUGCAUGGGGAGUCUUGUUCCAUCACAUUCUACUGGGGCAGGGUCUCUCCCUGAGCCUGAAGCUAGACUGAUGGCUAGGAAGUCCUGGCAAUUCUCCUGCCCUCUGCCUCUAACAGCACUGGCUUUCAGGAGCAUGCAUGGCCAUUGUCUACCUUUUUACAUGGCCCCUGGGGAUCACUUGGGUCCUCAUGUUUGCCCAGCAAGUGCUCUUACCUACUCAGACAUCUACCCAGGCCCCUAAACUCUUCUUGAGCCAUGAAAGCACAUGGCAGAGCCCACCAACACUGAGUACCUUCAAAGACCAAAGCAAUGAAAAGACCUUUGUGCCAUUCACCCUUCUUGCUGUCCACAGCUUCCUGGGCAUUGCAGACCCUUCUCAGCAGACCCGUCCACUUCCCAGCCCUCGUCCAUAGAAGCACAGUUCACCCUUGCACAAGCCCCUAGCCUCCUGGACCAGUCCCUCUGGCUGACCCCUGUCUCCUUCGUCUUACCCUCCAGCUUGCUCUUUAGGGUUAGUCAUAAUAACCCUCACAUCAGCAGAGCAGAAGAUCACCUUCCAUCUGCCUCACAACCACAAGAAGGUGGGUGGUGGGAGGCUAAUUAUCAUCUCAAUUUUACAAAUAAAUAAACAGGCUCAGAAUCGCCCAUGUUUUCCCACAAGCAUGCCUUAGUGAGUAUCCAGAAAGGAAGCACAGCUCUAUACUCCAAGCUCUGAACUGUGUUACACACUCCUAACCCUCCCAAAGCAGCCCCCUGAAAGCAGGAGGGAGUCAGCUGUAUUAGGGAACUUACAGAGCACAUAGUCUUAGGUAUGUGUGUAGAGACACAAAGCAAAAAGGAAGGGGCCCUCUGGUACCCUAUUAUGUUAUCAAGGAACCCAAGUGUCUCCAUUCACCUCUUCACUUUACAGGUGUAGAAACUGAGGCUCAGAGAGAAGGAAGGCUCAUGUGUUGAAUGCUCAGCCUAUUAGAAUUGGCCACCAGUACCUAGGUGAGGGUCAGGGUGACAAUCUCCCUCAGCCACACAAACCCCUGUCUGCCUCUCACCCUCCAUCUUCUGUCUGUCUACCCUUGGGGGAACACAGGACUGAGCACUGCUGUCUCUUGGACCCCAAUUUGGCAGCUGACCAUCUCUCUAAGUCCAAGAGUUUAUUAUCAGUCUUUACCACAAAGUGAGUGUUGACCAGUAUGAACUCCUGGGUCUAGAAUGCUAGGACUUCUCACUGGAGAUGUAAGCUGGGUCUGCAUGAGAUGGGAUCCCAUGGAGGGCAGUGUUUAUGGAGGUGCAUGUUGAAUUGCCAUGGGGGCAGGAAAAGCACCUUAAAGAAGGUGGAGAAGAGAGGCACCGAGGAGGCCCAGGAGACCCAGGCCAAGGAGGGGACUGAGGGCAUGGAAGGAUGGAGGUCCAAUUGUGCUCCAUGUGGCUGCAGCUCAGUCCAAGGCUUGUUGUCCAAAAUGGUCCAAUCCCUCCUUCCUCCAGAGAAGAACACAACCUGAAUGUUAACUUGACCUGACCCUGAGCAAUUUGUGCCAAACAAAUUUCCCUGCAGGAUCUCAUUGCUGCUCCACAGCCUAAUAUGCCAUUGGGAUUAAUGCUCCCUUUUUGCAGACAAGAAAACUGAGGCCAGAGAAGUAGGACCAGUGCAGAACUGCAACAGAAGCAGGCACUAAAGGGCCUGAACCAGUGCCUUCUCCACUGGAGAGAUCUUGUUCCUAGGACAUCAUUCAUUGGCUAGAUCCUCCAGCUCAGAGCUAAUGUGUAUAAAUGCUUGGGCCAUAGAGAGAGGCAUGAUAUCAAAAACUGCUUCCAGUUAGAAUUUUUGCAGCACCCAUUCUUUCCAGUUGCAUGUGAGUGUGCAUACGUGUGUGUGUGUGUGUGUGUGUGUGUGUGUGUGUGUGUGUGUGUGUGUGUGUACAGGAAUUGAAUCCAGGGCUUCGUGCACACUAGACAAGCACUGCAUCUGAGUUCCAUCUCCAGCCCUUGCUUCCAGUUAAGGAGUCAGCAGUGGUUCCGCCUCAGAUGUCAACAUUUCCUGCACAGUACUAAACUCAUUUAUAUAGUGAUUUUGAAAACUGCAUUUCACCCAUUAAACAAACACCUACUGGUUCUCCUAUACACCAGUCUCCUGAGCUGUCAUUUAGUUGGUUUUUUGUUUUGUUUUGUUUUUCAGGGUUUUGGGUGCUUGUGCAUCUGUUGUUGCAUCCUACUUGAGCAUCAUUGGAGUGUUUGGGGAGAAGUUUUCUAGCAGGCCUUGACCCAUCCAGAAAGCUAUGUCCACUGUGGGGCUCCAUCAGCACUCUGAGUGGAGACUGUGGGAGUCGAGGAGGAGGGAACACAAAAGAGUCAAAGAGAGCUGUAAAGUCAGGAGUAAUCGCUGGAGAAGUUCCUCUCCAGUCAUUAAAGAGGAUCUUAAUUAAGGUCCCUGAAAUAGAUACUCAAAACAAGCAGCUGUGGGAACCAGAUCCACAGGGGAUAGCACAACCGCCCAGAGGUGCUGGGUGUUAGCUGGCUCCUCACCUGUCAUUAGGGAGUGGGAAAUCGCCCCACAUCAAAGCCAGCCAGGAAGGAAUGUGACAAAUGCCAUUCACCUUUAAAACAGUGUUGAAAAUGAACACUAGAGCCUGCCAACCAUUGUGUGCGAAAACUCCUGGGGCAGAAGGACAAUCUCCAGAGAGUCAAGCAAGGUGUGUCCAGCCAGGAAGAAAAGUUAGAUGCCUAGAACUGGGAACUGAGUCCACCUUGCCUGCUUGACUUGGAUAGGCUUCUCCUGACCUUUGACCCCCCCAGUUUUUCUGGAACUGAGGCCCUAUCGGCCUACCACCCUACCACCUUCUCUGCCUUUCUGCUUUGGGUCCAAAGCAAUGUCAUAGUGACAGAGAAACUAAGGAGACAGAAACAGGAGGACUGAAAGAACCAAAUAGAUUUAGUUCUCAGACAGUUCAUAAAAUGUCUGAGCUAAAUCAGCUGUGAGAAGGCUCUCCUGAAAUACCAGUUUCUCAAAUACCUUUCCUUUAUCCUUCACCUUCAAAUCCAGCACAUGGAACCCAGCUUACAAACUUGGGUCCUUUGAGCAAGUUCAAGCUCUCAAGUUCAUUCUUUCAGAGCCAGUGCAGAUGAGGCCCCAUCCUCCAUCAUGGCUUUCAGCUCAGGAAGAUGCUGAGGGCCAGUGGAGCAGUAGAGCAGGCCCCUUUCACGGUCUCUGAAGAUACAUGGCAACCUUUUGCUGUCUCAUCCUGACCAGACAUCAGCCAUCACAGUGGGGAGGGGUAGGAGGAGUGAGGCCAGGGUGAGCCCAGCCAAACUUGGCCCUGCUUCAUAUUCACACCAGGAGCCAGAGAAGCUCUGGGAUUCAUGUGAACUAAAGUGGCCAGAGGGGGCUUCCAAGUGGAGACAGCAUGGAAGCUGGGCCUUGAGGAUGGACAGGAGUUGGCACAGAGAAAAGAAGGGACACCCUUUGCAAUGUCAGCUGUAUCUUUUCUGCCUUGGCCAGUUGCUGGGGGCAGGGGACACAGCUUAAAUGUCCUAACCAAAUGCAUAUUGAAAUCUAAUCUCUAUUGUGACUGUUAAGAGGCAGGGCCAGGUGGGGCCUUCACGAGGUGGUGAAGUCAUGAGGGCUCUGCCCUGGCUAACAGUUGGUUAAUCCACUCAUAGAUUAAUGGGCUAUGAAGGUAUAUCAAGAGUGGAUCUGUUAUAAUAGAAAGUGUGGUUCCAUCUCUUGGAUGAGUCCCUCUCUUCCCCAUGAUGCUCUGUGCUACUCCAGGACUUUACAGGUGUCCCUUCCACAACAAGAUCCUCAGAAGAUACAUUCUCCCAACCUUGGACCUCCCAGCCUCCACAACGACGAGCUGGAUGAGCCUCUAUUCUUUAGCCUUCAUCCAGUAAUUGAUGUACCCAGAUGCAGAGAUUCACAACCAAGCACCAGGCCAAACUCUAGGAAUCCAGUCGAAGAGAGGGAGGAGGGAAUACAUGAACAAGGGAGAUGAAGAUCACGAUGGAGCAAUCUCUAGAGACAGCUGAACCAAACUGGUGGACACUCAUAAAAUCCAGACCAGCAGUUGUGGAGCCUCCAAGGGACUGAAGUAGGCCCAUGGGAAAUGUAUAACUUGGUCUAUCCGAGGAUCACCCUGGCAGUAGGACCAGGAUCUAUCCCUGUUGCAUGAGCUUGCUUGGGGAAGCCCAUUCCCUAGGGUGGGAUGCCAUGCUCAGCCUUCAUGCAGGGGGAGGGGCUCGGUCCUGCCUCAACUUAAUGAGCCAGACUUUGUCAACUCCCCAGGGGAGCCCUUAUCUGUUGGAAGGAAUGGAUAGGGAGUGGGCUGCAGGGGAGGGUCAGAGGAGGGGUAGGAGAGAGAAUUUUGGUUGGAAUGUAAAAUGAAAUAAAAAAUAAAACAAUGGGAAAUAAAAAAGAGAAUAACUCAGCUAAAAGACAUCAUUAUAGUAUUUAUAACAACCAAACAAUAUUUGUAAAUAUAACAAUACUUAUAACAACUAAAAAUUAACUUAAGUUCUGAUGCAAAAUGACUCAUGGGUGGUUUUCACAGUACUCACUGGUGUAUCACUGCAGUCCUGACUCUGAACAGACUUGCAUGAACUUUCCGAGUGCAUACAACCAUUCCAGGCAAUGUUGAUAAGCGCUACCUCUAGAGCCAUGGCUCAAAGUCAAUACUACUGUCUGAGAACUGCCAUGCUUUUAUUGUGCCAAGGUUUCUGCUCUUAUAGAAGCAUAAUGACUUCAUUACAGAAAAUAAAGACCUUUGCUAUUUUUCUAGCAUCAUCCCUCAGCAUGUAUCAAAUCAGAGUACCUUUCUAUUUUAUUGUGGUAGGUGGAUAAUCUAUCUCAUUAGCAUAACAAUUUACUUUUUGUCCUUAAAAUGACAAAAUUAUAUGUAUAGCCAAAAAGUUGUCAAAUACAUUUCUUUAUGACUUUGAUCUGUUACCUGUUUACUAAGUGUUCCUGUGUGUGCACAAGUAGGCCAUAGGUCAACAACGUUGGGUAUCUUCCUCAACUGCUCUCCUCAUUUUUGAAGACAGGGUCUCUCACUGAACCUGGAGUUCACUGAGUUUGGCCAGGCAAGCUGGCCAGCAUAUCCCAGGGAACAUGUGCUGCUAUGCCCAACUUUAUUAACAUGGGUGCUAAGGAUUGACCUCAGCUCAUGGAGACUGCACAAAAAGUGUUUUACCAACUGAGUCAUCGCCCCAGCCUCCUAUAUGUCCUUAGACUUUAUUUGUUUUAUUUUAUGUGUAUGAAUGUUUUGUCUGCAUCUAUGUCUAAGCCUGCUGUCUAUGACAGUCAGAAGAGAGCACUGUAUGGCCUUGAACUGGUGUUUCAGAUAGUUGUGAGUCUCUCUACAAGAGUCCUCUACAAGAGCAACAAGUGUUCUUUGCUGCUGAGCCAUCACCCCAGCAUCUACCUACUCUAUGAACCAAUAUACCCAGUGUAAAAGUGCCAGGGAAAAGGGGGCAGUGAGUGAACAAAGCUUAAGAACUACUCUAUUGGAUGGGUCCAAGAAGCCAGGACCAUAGG